GGGGAAUAUUGGACAAUGGGGGCAACCCUGAUCCAGCGAUGCCGCGUGAGUGAUGAAGGCCCUAGGGUUGUAAAACUCUUUCGUCAGGGAAGAUAAUGACGGUACCUGAAGAAGAAGAUCCGGCUAACUCCGUGCCAGCAGCCGCGGUAAUACGGAGGGGUCUAGCGUUAUUCGGAAUUACUGGGCGUAAAGCGAGCGUAGGCGGAUUUGUAAGUUGGAGGUGAAAUCCCAGAGCUUAACUCUGGAACUGCCUUCAAAACUACAUUUCUUGAGUUUGGUAGAGGAGAGUGGAAUUCCUAGUGUAGAGGUGAAAUUCGUAGAUAUUAGGAGGAACACCAGUGGCGAAGGCGACUCUCUGGGCCAAUACUGACGCUGAGGUUCGAAAGCAUGGGUAGCGAACAGG
RNAcentral lists this ribosomal RNA (403 nucleotides) under uncultured bacterium. RNAcentral's name for it is "bacterial SSU rRNA". It matches the Rfam family "Bacterial small subunit ribosomal RNA", at positions 356 to 776 of the family's 1533-position model. The record is from RNAcentral.